GAGCCAUUACACCCCAUUUCACUGUGUCAUUGGUCUCGUAUAUGUCGCCAGCGGUGCGUCCGACCAGCUUCCACGUGGUCUGCUUGACGUCUGGGCGCACAAUCCGUCCAUUGCCGACGUCGCGGACGUGCUCGAGCUCUACAAUGGCGGCAUCCUUCAGCGUUUUGACGAGUAGACGGCGCAUCUUGAAAGUACCCGCCGUACUAGAAGCUGAAGCUUCCCCAAGCUCCCUCAACACAGAUACGAGGGGGCCAGCGUUCCACCAGUUGUGCUGAGUCACGCCUCUUUCAAGCCACAGUACAAGUGGUGAUGUCAACACGUUCCUGGCUUUCACCAGUCACCUAGACGCUGAUCGGCGACUACUUGAAGGACACGAAGCAGCAGCUCCCACCGAGAUCCAGGCCCGCAUCAAGGGUUCCAGCCGAGGUCCUGUACCAAGACACCAUGGCCGAGAAACGUCAAAAAAUUUGUGGACAGCACUAAGCGAGUAAAACGAAGGCAGACAGCAUACGAGGCGCCACUCGCCUCAGUGGCACGUAGUGAGAGAAAGUUGAUUUUAAAGAAAGAAAGAGGAAACGCGAACUCCAAUUGUACUGGUAUAGAGUGUCCUUCAAGCACUGUGAUUUCAUUCAGUAAAACCAGUACAGAGAAACACGGAGUCAAAUUGUACUCGUAGAGUGCUCUUCCAUACCAUUGAUAUUAUUUAAUUAGGGGAUGAAGGAUGAUUGUUACAGCGGAUCAACUGAAGGGCCAGCUACUUUUUUCAUAUAUAUAUACAGAAUCUAGGAAAGUUCCCGAAUUUCACUAUUUUCUCGUCUCUGGGCCUUUUAUUUGUUUUUUUUCUUGUCCACAGAUUUACGAAAGUUGUCAGUACAAGUCUCUGGCUCCUUUAGGAAGAAAUGUUAUCCAGUUGCGUGUCGAUAAACAAGUGCCCCCAAGCAGGUACUCUAAACCCAUGAAGCCACCGUGAGCCACUGACGGAUCUCCAGGGGAGCAAUGCCACCAGUGUUUACUGUUUGAACCUUGCUCAGGAACCUCCACUUACUUGAAGACUAAAGCUUAAGGUAUCACACACAACACAACAC
This is a long non-coding RNA of Dermacentor andersoni, 1085 nucleotides long. RefSeq lists it as uncharacterized. The record is from RefSeq and is a predicted model, not a curated record. NCBI's taxonomy places the organism in Eukaryota, Metazoa, Arthropoda, Arachnida, Ixodida, Ixodidae.